GAUGAAGAACGUAGCGAAAUGCGAUAAGUAAUGUGAAUUGCAGAAUUCAGUGAAUCAUCGAAUCUUUGAACGCACAUUGCGCCCGCCAGUAUUCUGGCGGGCAUGCCUGUUCGAGCGUCAUUACAACUCUCAGGCCCCCGGGCCUGGCGUUGGGGAUCGGCGGAAGCCCCCUGCGGGCACAACGCCGUCCCCCAAAUACAGUGGCGGUCCCGCCGCAGCUUCCAUUGCGUAGUAGCUAACACCUCGCAACUGGAGAGCGGCGCGGCCACGCCGUAAAACACCCAACUUCUGAAUGUUGACCUCGAAUCAGGUAGGAAUACCCGCUGAACUUAAGCAUAUCAAUAAGCGGAGGA
This 353-nucleotide unclassified non-coding RNA is filed under the name soil metagenome. RNAcentral's name for it is "partial contains 5.8S ribosomal RNA, internal transcribed spacer 2, and large subunit ribosomal RNA". The stretch from base 1 to 120 matches the Rfam family "5.8S ribosomal RNA", at positions 35 to 154 of the family's 154-position model. The record is from RNAcentral.